AUGAACAAAGCUCAUGAGUUUCUAGGUAUGCUUGGCUCAAUUGAUUGCAUGCACUGGAGGUGGAAGAACUGUUGUACAACAUGGCAUGGGCAAUUCAAAGGACAGAAGAAGGAUGCCAACAUCAUUCUUGAAGUCGCGGUCGAUCAGGUCUUGACACUUAUGCCACUCGGAGGGUGGUCGACGCUUAAGGCCUUCACGACCGCCUUCUUGCAGUAUGCUAUCGCCUUGGGCCCCAUCAGGAAGUUGAGGUGGGUCUCGACCUGCUCCGACCCCAGCUCGUCCCCGGACACCCACGUCGGGUCUUCAGGCCCCAACAUCGGGGACGGCCGGGCCUGA
RNAcentral lists this ribosomal RNA (336 nucleotides) under Triticum aestivum (bread wheat). RNAcentral describes it as "partial small subunit ribosomal RNA". The record is from RNAcentral. Lineage: Eukaryota; Viridiplantae; Streptophyta; Magnoliopsida; Poales; Poaceae.